UGAGGAAUAUUGGUCAAUGGGCGAGAGCCUGAACCAGCCAAGUCGCGUGAAGGAAGACUGCCCGCAAGGGUUGUAAACUUCUUUUGUAUGGGAUUAAAGUCGUCUACGUGUAGGCGUUUGCAGUUACCAUACGAAUAAGCAUCGGCUAACUCCGUGCCAGCAGCCGCGGUAAUACGGAGGAUGCGAGCGUUAUCCGGAAUUAUUGGGUUUAAAGGGUGCGUAGGUUGCAAGGGAAGUCAGGGGUGAAAAGCUGUAGCUCAACUAUGGUCUUGCCUUGGAAACUCUCUAGCUAGAGUGUACUGGAGGAACGUGGAACGUGUGGUGUAGCGGUGAAAUGCAUAGAUAUCACACAGAACUCCGAUUGCACAGGCAGCAUAAUACAUUACAACUGACACUGAAGCACGAAAGCGUGGGUAUCAAACAGG
RNAcentral lists this ribosomal RNA (425 nucleotides) under Fusobacteriota bacterium. RNAcentral describes it as "Fusobacteria bacterium partial 16S ribosomal RNA". It matches the Rfam family "Bacterial small subunit ribosomal RNA", at positions 355 to 776 of the family's 1533-position model. Lineage: Bacteria; Fusobacteriati; Fusobacteriota. The record is from RNAcentral.